UGGGGAAUAUUGCGCAAUGGGGGAAACCCUGACGCAGCGACGCCGCGUGUGGGAUGAAGGUCUUCGGAUUGUAAACCACUGUCGCGAGGGACGAAGCUCUGACGGUACCUCGAAAGGAAGCACCGGCUAACUCUGUGCCAGCAGCCGCGGUAAUACAGAGGGUGCGAGCGUUGUCCGGAAUUACUGGGCGUAAAGCGCGUGUAGGUGGUCGAGUAAGUCGAAUGUGAAAGCCCCGGGCUCAACCCGGGAAGUGCAUCCGAAACUGCUCGACUAGAGUCCCGGAGAGGAAGGCAGAAUUCCCAAUGUAGGGGUGAAAUCCGUAGAUAUUGGGAGGAAUACCGGUGGCGAAGGCGGCCUUCUGGACGGUGACUGACACUCAGACGCGAAAGCGUGGGGAGCAAACAGGAUUAGAUACCCAAGUAGUCCCUGAGCGGGCUGGCAAGGCGCAU
This 449-nucleotide ribosomal RNA is filed under the name uncultured bacterium. RNAcentral describes it as "bacterial SSU rRNA". It matches the Rfam family "Bacterial small subunit ribosomal RNA", at positions 355 to 825 of the family's 1533-position model. The record is from RNAcentral.